ACUCCUACGGGAGGCAGCAUUGGGGAAUAUUGCACAAUGGGCGCAAGCCUGAUGCAGCCAUGCCGCGUGUGUGAAGAAGGCCUUCGGGUUGUAAAGCACUUUCAGUCGUGAGGAAGGUAGUGUAGUUAAUAGCUGCAUUAUUUGACGUUAGCGACAGAAGAAGCACCGGCUAACUCCGUGCCAGCAGCCGCGGUAAUACGGAGGGUGCGAGCGUUAAUCGGAAUUACUGGGCGUAAAGCGCAUGCAGGUGGUUUGUUAAGUCAGAUGUGAAAGCCCGGGGCUCAACCUCGGAAUAGCAUUUGAAACUGGCAGACUAGAGUACUGUAGAGGGGGGUAGAAUUUCAGGUGUAGCGGUGAAAUGCGUAGAGAUCUGAAGGAAUACCGGUGGCGAAGGCGGCCCCCUGGACAGAUACUGACACUCAGAUGCGAAAGCGUGGGGAGCAAACAGGAUUAGAUACCCUGGUAGGAUAGCG
Molecule: ribosomal RNA, 473 nt
Filed under: uncultured bacterium
Lineage: Bacteria
Description: bacterial SSU rRNA
Rfam family: Bacterial small subunit ribosomal RNA
Source: RNAcentral